UGCAGGAUAUUUGAAAUGUAAAUUUUCCUC
RNAcentral lists this non-coding RNA (30 nucleotides) under Rattus norvegicus (Norway rat). The record is from RNAcentral. Lineage: Eukaryota; Metazoa; Chordata; Mammalia; Rodentia; Muridae.